RNAcentral lists this ribosomal RNA (433 nucleotides) under uncultured bacterium. RNAcentral's name for it is "partial 16S ribosomal RNA". It matches the Rfam family "Bacterial small subunit ribosomal RNA", at positions 29 to 507 of the family's 1533-position model. The record is from RNAcentral.
AACGAACGCUGGCGGCAUGCCUAACACAUGCAAGUCGAACGAGACCUUCGGGUCUAGUGGCGCACGGGUGCGUAACGCGUGGGAACCUGCCCUUAGGUUCGGAAUAACUCCCCGAAAGGGGUGCUAAUACCGGAUAAUGUCUUCGGACCAAAGAUUUAUCGCCUUUGGAUGGGCCCGCGUUGGAUUAGCUAGUUGGUAGGGUAAAAGCCUACCAAGGCGACGAUCCAUAGCUGGUCUGAGAGGAUGAUCAGCCACACUGGGACUGAGACACGGCCCAGACUCCUACGGGAGGCAGCAGUGGGGAAUAUUGGAAAAUGGGCGAAAGCCUGAACCAGCAAUGCCGCGUGAGUGAUGAAGGCCUUAGGGUUGUAAAGCUCUUUUACCCGGGAUGAUAAUGACAGUACCGGGAGAAUAAGCUACGGCUAACUCCGUG